GGGGCCGACCUGGCUUCGACGCGGGUUCGGAGUUGGAACAGGGCAUGCCGAGCACCAGUUCGCUCGUAAAUCCACUGGAAACAAAGUAACUGCGAACGAUCAAACGUACGCUCUCGCCGCUUAAUACCGGUGAGCCUCGCAACAGUUGGCCGAUGGGCUGGGCCUGAGAGGUAACUCGAAGGCUGCGAGGUCAUACACAUGGGCUCGUUCCGGGUUGCGCCAUUCAGCCCGGAAUCAAAUCAAGUGGAUCGGGACGGGGGUAGCGUGCUGCUGCGCGACCCACGGCCCUAAAACCAAAUCAGCCAGCUAAGCAUGUAGAUCUGCCUGACAAAGGCCAGCGGACGGGGGUUCGAUUCCCCCCGGCUCCACCA
RNAcentral lists this transfer-messenger RNA (371 nucleotides) under Piscinibacter sp. It matches the Rfam family "transfer-messenger RNA". Rfam says of the family: Bacterial tmRNA, also known as 10Sa RNA or SsrA, is named for its dual tRNA and mRNA-like properties. Its role is to liberate the mRNA from a stalled ribosome. Lineage: Bacteria; Pseudomonadati; Pseudomonadota; Betaproteobacteria; Burkholderiales; Sphaerotilaceae. The record is from RNAcentral.